CUUGGUCAUUUAGAGGAAGUAAAAGUCGUAACAAGGUUUCCGUAGGUGAACCUGCGGAAGGAUCAUUAUCGAGUGUUGGCCCCCCUCGUAAAAAAAGGGGGGUUACCUCCCGUCCUUUGCUGGGGGCCCCCUCUUUUAAUUUUGGGAGGGGGCUUUUUCAGAACCCCUUCUGCUUCGGCGGGGUCAACCCCCCUGCCGGAACACCCUCAAAAAUUCUUUUAAUUGUUCAGUCCGAGGAAUUUUAAAAAAUGAUACAAAACUUUCAACAACGGAUCUCUUGGUUCUGGCAUCGAUGAAGAACGCAGCGAAAUGCGAUAAGUAAUGUGAAUUGCAGAAUUCAGUGAAUCAUCGAAUCUUUGAACGCAUAUUGCGCCCCUUGGUAUUCCGGGGGGCACACCUGUUCGAGCGCCAUUUACAUCUCCUCAAGCAUUGCUUGGUGUUGGGUUAGGUCCUUAAGGGGACCCACCCGUAACUUGUAGGUGGUCAUCGGUGACCCCCCCUAGCGUAGCAGGCUAAACGCACCCGCUCGGGGGUGGCCUCUAUGGCCCGCCUAAAACCUUUAUAUCCAAAAGGUUUGGCCUCGGAUCAGGUGGGGAUACCCGCUGAACUUAAGCAUAUCAAUAAGCGGAGGA
Molecule: ribosomal RNA, 632 nt
Filed under: uncultured fungus
Lineage: Eukaryota; Fungi
Description: eukaryotic LSU rRNA
Rfam family: 5.8S ribosomal RNA (bases 258-411)
Source: RNAcentral